This 113-nucleotide non-coding RNA is filed under the name uncultured Mamiellales. The record is from RNAcentral. Lineage: Eukaryota; Viridiplantae; Chlorophyta; Mamiellophyceae; Mamiellales.
UUUUUUUUUUUUUGUUGGUUUUUUUUUUUUGUUAGUUUUAAAUACUUGUUUUCUUCCCCCUACUCUGGCUAAGGCUAGCGAGGGGGUUGGAUUUCAAGAAAAGAGAAAAGGAG